This 440-nucleotide ribosomal RNA is filed under the name uncultured bacterium. RNAcentral's name for it is "partial 16S ribosomal RNA". It matches the Rfam family "Bacterial small subunit ribosomal RNA", at positions 338 to 795 of the family's 1533-position model. The record is from RNAcentral.
CCUACGGGUGGCAGCAGUGGGGGAUAUUGCACAAUGGGGGAAACCCUGAUGCAGCGACGCCGCGUGUGGGAUGACGGUCCUCUGGAUUUAAAACCACUGUCGCCAGGGACGAAGAUGACGGUACCUGGGGAGGAAGCUCCGGCUAACUACGUGCCAGCAGCCGCGGUAAAACGUAGGGAGCGAGCGUUGGCCGGAAUUACGGGGUGUAAAGGGAGCGUAGGGGGGGAUGCAAGUGGGGUGUCAAAACUACCGGCUCAACUGGUAGUCGCACUCAAAACUGCAGCUCUUGAGUGAAGUAGAGGCAGGCGGAAUUCCUAGUGUAGCAGUGAAAUGCGUAGAUAUUAGGAGGAACACCAGUGGCGAAGGCGGCCUGCUGGGCUUUUACUGACGCUGAGGCUCGAAAGUGUGGGGAGCAAACAGGAUUAGAUACCCUUGUAGUC